GUGGGGAAUAUUGGGCAAUGGACGCAAGUCUGACCCAGCAACGCCGCGUGAAGGAAGAAGGCUUUCGGGUUGUAAACUUCUUUUAAGGGGGAAGAGCAGAAGACGGUACCCCUUGAAUAAGCCACGGCUAACUACGUGCCAGCAGCCGCGGUAAUACGUAGGUGGCAAGCGUUGUCCGGAUUUACUGGGUGUAAAGGGCGUGCAGCCGGAGAGACAAGUCAGAUGUGAAAUCCACGGGCUCAACCCGUGAACUGCAUUUGAAACUGUUUCCCUUGAGUGUCGGAGAGGUAAUCGGAAUUCCUUGUGUAGCGGUGAAAUGCGUAGAUAUAAGGAAGAACACCAGUGGCGAAGGCGGAUUACUGGACGAUAACUGACGGUGAGGCGCGAAAGCGUGGGGAGCAA
This 402-nucleotide ribosomal RNA is filed under the name uncultured Oscillibacter sp. Its description in RNAcentral is "bacterial SSU rRNA". It matches the Rfam family "Bacterial small subunit ribosomal RNA", at positions 354 to 771 of the family's 1533-position model. The record is from RNAcentral. Lineage: Bacteria; Bacillati; Bacillota; Clostridia; Eubacteriales; Oscillospiraceae.